CCUACGGGGGGCAGCAGUGGGGGAUAUUGGACAAUGGGGGAAACCCUGAUCCAGCGAUGCCGCGUGAGGGAAGAAGGCUUUCGGGUUGUAAACUUCUUUUAAGGGGGACGAACAAAUGACGGUACCCCUUGAAUAAGCCACGGCUAACUACGUGCCAGCAGCCGCGGUAAUGCGUAGGUGGCAAGCGUUAUCCGGAUUUAUUGGGUGUAAAGGGCGUGUAGGCGGGAGCGCAAGUCAGAUGUGAAAACUCAGGGCUCAACCCUGAGCCUGCAUUUGAAACUGUGUUUCUUGAGUGCUGGAGAGGC
Molecule: ribosomal RNA, 305 nt
Filed under: uncultured bacterium
Lineage: Bacteria
Description: bacterial SSU rRNA
Rfam family: Bacterial small subunit ribosomal RNA
Source: RNAcentral